UCGGAAGUUCUGUCAAAUGGAAAACUUCUUGCGUCGUUUGCAUGUUUGUUCGUGAUUUUUUCCGGUGCGGUCCAGUUUUUUUUGUAAAGUUGAAUCAGCCGCAACAAGGCUGCCGCAGCGGCUUCAGAAAAGGGAGUUGCAUUGAGACCAAGCUGGACACCGAUUCUGACGUUACGUGGCGGCCCUUCCAGAACCAAACAACCAACACAUAUGUUGGUACCUGCCGAGUGGCCACCAGUGACGGAUUGGUGUCUGGUGCUGGGCACCAUCGGUAACGACGAAAAUGUUGAGGCAGGAACAGCCGGAUACCGAGAGAAGCUUCCGAUGCCACCGGAGAAACAGGAACAAAAGACCAGAAGUCUGCAGAAGUACAAUUGCCAACAGAUCCAACAUCCCCCUAGCUCUGACCGGCGGAACCGUCUCUGCAGGUUGUAAACAAAGCGGUCGAGUAACUGAAGAAAGUCCAACGGGAAACAACCCAUCCGUCGGUCGCGUGCCACUUCGUUGACCGAGGAGAACAUGGAAUCUGACCUGCUGGUGGGUUCCGAUAAAGUUACGCCCAGAUGUAGUUCAUCAUCAAGUGCAGGGCGCUGGACCCUAUCACACAGGAUCUCGCGAAGCUGCACAGCUGAGUAAGGGUUCGUUUAACGCCACAGGGUCGUGCUUCGUAGAAUACUUUUAAAUCACCGGUCAACGCAGGGCUUGACCACCUGGGAGGUGGCCAAAGAGCAGUCGGUGUCAGCGGAACCAGUGCUGAAGCAGCGCAGCUUUCCCCCUUCCAGGAAGUCGAUUCUGGUUUCGCACCCGGCGGUAAGUUACGUUGUGGCCAACCCGAUAAACAGCGCAGAAAAAGAAGCAUAUCAGCAUUGCGCCAGCCGCUGGCGUGCAGGAAUCCGAUCUGGACAUUCAAGCUGCGGCCGACUUGCCGGUUCCAAAAUGUUCGCUGACGGAACGUUUCCGUUGAUUUAAAAAUAAUCGAUCCCUUCGAAUCCGGGGACAAGUCCAACAAAACCGACGGAGCUUGCCGCAGAAACUGGUGUAGUCGAACCGCUGGGGGUGACCGGGAGCACCAAAAAGGUGAACGAAAGAACUAAACUUUGGCCACGUAGCUGGACAAUUCGAGGUGUGGCCCUUGGGCAGCAAGCGGCAGCGGAACCUUGACUACAUGUGCACAGGAAGGCAGAUCUGGAGUUCCUUCUGGCGUCAGGUUAGGUUGUGAUCAAAACGCAGAAAACAACAACGGCGCAAAAUCGGUCAGCUUUAUUCCGGCAAGCGUUCAUUAGUGGUUUCUGUUAACGCCAGUAGCCACGAUUCUACUGUUCCAACAGCAUCAACGAAAACCUAGUGGGUUAAAAGGUUCAGCGUUCCCACGUACAGCAGUUACUGGCGACGGUUCGGUUUUGAAGCACGACGAUUAUUGCUCCACGAGUGCCCUUGGAACCACUUGUCUGGACCGAUGGUCCAGAUCAACCGGAAUCGGUCCACUUACCUGAAACCGGCUCGUUCAUGGCUUUGCGAAUAUCUACCUCACUGGUCCAAGACCGAGCACGAAGGUGGUGGAACGAUUACUGGACUAGAAGUCGGAACAACAACCUUAAAGAGUCCGCAGCGGUGCCCACCAGACAACAGGAUCUGGCCUAGCGAGCAGCAAAGACAAGUUAUGCCCGUCCUGGCAAGGCGAUAGAACUGGUGAACAGUUUACUAGUGCGCUUCAACACCGUUCUGCGCACCGGCUUCCUGGCACCAUCAGCAGGAAACGGCCCUCGAUGCAUCUCCCUGGCAGACCCCCUGCCACCAACCGGGCUGUUGUGAUCGGUGAAAACAAACUCGGUCGGAAAUUGCACAGCAGGCAUAUUCGAACCAGCGGCGCGCUGCGGAACGACAACGCCAAAAAAAACGUCCAAGAAACAAACAAUAAGAUGGCCGUCGAAAACCGUCAAUCCUUUCCAACCGCUGUAUCAGGCGGUACCGUUGGGCAAAAAUGUGGAAAACGAGCCGGCGUGUCCUGGUUCGGGGUUGUCGUCCGGAGAAGGACGACGGGACGGUGGCUGACCUCCCGUGACAUCAAGUAGAUUUAGCAGAUCGGCGGCGACCCGCAGAGUACGGAUUUUGACUUCCAGGACUAAACCAUUCCGGACUACCUUGGAGGAGUAGUUGGAGGCAGCGGAACCGGUGCCGUUGAAGAACAGCUCUAAAUCUAAAACCCUGGUCCCGGACAAGGAGGAGUCGUUUUGUUCCGCGAGUAAUACGACUAAGAUGAUCGCGAUGAAGAAACGUACACCCCUGGGCGACGAUCAAAACAUCACGGCAUUUUCAAGAUUUCGCGACCCCGCAUCGACAGACACAGAAUAGAAUAAUUCUCAAUCCGGCUUCCGCUCCCGAAACUUCGCCCCUGACCGCCAUCCCGAAUAAGCACGCGGGACAGCCAUGACCCUGAAAGUGACGACGAGAGCAGCGCUGCAUGGGACCCGGUCAUUACCCCGCAAGUGUCCUCGGAACAAUACUACGCGGAACAGCCUCGCAGUGCUGUCAUGGUCCCCAACCACCGGGAUCACGACGAUCACCGGCGGGACUCUUCGUCGGCGACGGCUCCGUUCGUCAACCCGCCAAGGUUUGUCGUUCAGCGGCCCAGCCUCGACCGUCCGUCAACCGCCACUGCCCUCGCAACAGAAUGGCCACGCCGGCGUCAGAGGUCGUGGACCGUAGUUGGUGGCAGCGCAACCGAUGCCGUUGAAGGACAGCUCAAAAAACUUGCUUGAUCCCAGCCGGCUUCACUACAAGUGGUACACUGGGGCCACGACCGAGCACCGAGGGAUCCGCAGCGUAACCCACUGGACAGCUGGAACUGGCCUCGCGCAAGUCACGUUCCGUCCCAUCCCGGCGAAGCGUAGGAACCGGUGAGCAGUCUUCAACCUCAGCCCAGAUGGAAGGGUAUGGCUCUGCCGGUGCGAUCGGAACGACAGAUUAAAUGCUGCACUUACGCUCUAUGUCAAGAUCAACCGGAACCGGCUCACAUACCCGGCCAAUUCUGUUGGUUCUUGCAAUCCGGAACUGGCACGCGCAACACGCGGUCGCCAUGGCUCUGGAUCAGAUUGACCGGUCAGCGGCUAACCUGUAAGUGCUUUCGAAACAAUGCUGCAUGGAAAUGGUUGUUGGACGAUCGCCAAACUGCAAGUUCUCUCGGAAUUACGCUGGACGGAACAGGCUCGCCGGACGGUCACCGCCCUGCAAUUGCACUCGGCACGACGGACUAAAACCGGCACGGACGCGCCAGGCCUAUUAUUUAACUCAUUUCGGUAAAUGCAAUCCGGAACUGCCACGCGAAACAGCAAUGGACCUCGAGUUUCCGUCGAAAAGAGACAGCACGGAAUAGGACUGCCGGGAGGUUGCCAACCUACAAGUGCUUUCGGAACGACGCUGGACGGACAUGGUCCCUGGAAAUUAAUUUAGAAAGCGCAUCACGGAACAGACACGACGCCCUGCAAGUGUCCUCGGAACGAAGCCGCACGGAAUAGGCUCGAUGGACAAAUAUGGUUCUGCAAGUUCCCUCGGAACGUCGCUGCAUGGACAGGUUCGGCGGACGGUCGCCGCCCUGCAGGUGCCCUCGGAACCACGGAUGAAAUGCUACACGAAAGCGCCCAGGUCUAAAUCAACCGGAGCCGGUUCUCACGUGUCUGGAGCGUUCCCCUGAAGGCUGUCCAACCGGUGAAUUGAUGUUUAUAAGAUUAAAUUAACUUAUUGCCUACGAUUUUAUGAAAAUAAACAAAUAAAAACGC
Culex pipiens pallens (northern house mosquito) is the source of this 3776-nucleotide long non-coding RNA. RefSeq lists it as uncharacterized. The record is from RefSeq and is a predicted model, not a curated record. Lineage: Eukaryota; Metazoa; Arthropoda; Insecta; Diptera; Culicidae. The transcript has 10 exons.